CUAAAGACACAGGGUCAACUUUAUUCGUCGCCGAGCCUGUGCUUGGUAGUUCGGUCUCCUAUCAUCAGGGCCGUCUUACGGAUUAUCCCGAUACACACGGGAUGGAUCAAAUAUCGAGCGUGGCAACAACAUUCGAUUAAUCGUUCUUUACCUGUGGUUUGUUCCUGUACGUGGCGACGGUGGUGGUUGUGACGGGGGUGGCAACGGUGGCGGUGGCGGUAGCGGUUGUGGCGGAUAUGCUUCGCAUCGAACAAAGGCGAGAACGAAAAAGCAAGUGCGUGCGGGUGUAGAGAAGAAAGCGGGACAUAAGAGGAUAGGAGUUAGAGAGA
Long non-coding RNA from Vespa mandarinia (Asian giant hornet), 329 nucleotides. The record is from RefSeq and is a predicted model, not a curated record. Lineage: Eukaryota; Metazoa; Arthropoda; Insecta; Hymenoptera; Vespidae.